GGGAGUGUUUGUGCCUGGUGAGAGCCCAGGCAUAUAGCUACAUCUCAUGACAAGGUGGGCUGAGAAAUAAAGUUUAACUGCAUGGAAAAAAAGAGGAUAUUGACUUGCCAAGACCCUAAAUAAUAGACUAUAACAUAGACAUUAGCUCCAUCCUCUGGCUCUGGUGAAAAAUGAUAUAUUCUUGGGAGCGAUUGUGGUACAUAUCCAGCCCCAUACUUGGAAUGGGUAAGGACACAAGGACCCAGAACCCAGCAUGAGAGGCUGUAGGUGAAAUCAAGAAGUACUUACUGAAUGACCAUCAAGUGCGAGGCACUGUUCUCAGGUGAUCAAGUUUGACUUCUUGCAACAAAAUUGAAGCAGCAAUGGAAAAGCAGAAACAGACUGCAUUUCACUCAUCUGGCCCCAAAUAAACAUCAAGCAAACACCAGAAGGUAACUGUAGGAAUUUUCUGAAAGUAAUAAGAAGAGGAAGCCUGAGUCUGUGCUGAAGUGUUCAGGGAGCAGAGAUGUAUUGAGACGUGAUGAAAGAAGAGGGAGGCGUAGAGAAUAUGAG
Molecule: long non-coding RNA, 552 nt
Organism: Talpa occidentalis (Iberian mole)
Lineage: Eukaryota; Metazoa; Chordata; Mammalia; Eulipotyphla; Talpidae
Exons: 5
Source: RefSeq, a predicted model, not a curated record